GAUGAACGCUAGCGACAGGCCUAACACAUGCAAGUCGAGGGGCAGCAUGGUAUCAGCUUGCUGAUACCGAUGGCGACCGGCGCACGGGUGAGUAACGCGUAUCCAACCUGCCCAUCACUUGGGGAUAACCUUGCGAAAGUAAGACUAAUACCCAAUGACGUCUCUAGAAGACAUCUGAAGGAGAUUAAAGAUUUAUCGGUGAUGGAUGGGGAUGCGUCUGAUUAGCUUGUUGGCGGGGUAACGGCCCACCAAGGCGACGAUCAGUAGGGGUUCUGAGAGGAAGGCCCCCCACAUUGGAACUGAGACACGGUCCAAACUCCUACGGGAGGCAGCAGUGAGGAAUAUUGGUCAAUGGACGAGAGUCUGAACCAGCCAAGUAGCGUGCAGGAUGACGGCCCUAUGGGUUGUAAACUGCUUUUAUAAGGGAAUAAAGUGAGUCUCGUGAGACUUUUUGCAUGUACCUUAUGAAUAAGGACC
Molecule: ribosomal RNA, 477 nt
Filed under: uncultured bacterium
Lineage: Bacteria
Description: bacterial SSU rRNA
Rfam family: Bacterial small subunit ribosomal RNA
Source: RNAcentral